RNAcentral lists this unclassified non-coding RNA (202 nucleotides) under Polyporus tricholoma. RNAcentral describes it as "ITS2". Lineage: Eukaryota; Fungi; Basidiomycota; Agaricomycetes; Polyporales; Polyporaceae. The record is from RNAcentral.
ACUCUCAACCUAACAAGHUUGUAACGAGCUUGCUUAGGCUUGGACUUGGAGGCUUGCCGGCUGUUUACCCAGUCGACUCCUCUCAAAUGCAUUAGCUUGGUUCCUUGCGAAUCGGCUCACGGUGHGAUAGUUGUCUACGCCGCGACCGUGAAGCGUUUAUUGGCCAGCUUCUAAUCGUCUCUUGCGAGACAAUUACUUCGAA